AGAGUUUGAUCCUGGCUCAGAAUCAACGCUGGCGGCGUGCCUCAGACAUGCAAGUCGAACGCGAAAGUUUCCUUCGGGAGACGAGUAGAGUGGCGCACGGGUGAGUAACACGUAGGUUAUCUACCUCCGAGUGGGGAAUAACAUCGGGAAACCGAUGCUAAUACCGCAUAAUACCGAAAGGUCAAAGCUUUAUGUGCUUGGAGAGGAGUCUGCGGCAGAUUAGCUAGUUGGUAGGUAAUGGCUUACCAAGGCGACGAUCUGUAUCCGGUCUAAGAGGACGGUCGGACACACUGACACUGAAUAACGGGUCAGACUCCUACGGGAGGCAGCAGUCGGGAAUUUUGGGCAAUGGGCGAAAGCCUGACCCAGCAACGCCGCGUGAAGGAUGAAGUCUUUCGGGAUGCAAACUUCGAAAGAAUAGGAAGAAUAAAUGACGGUACUAUUUUUAAGCCCCGGCUAACUCCGUGCCAGCAGCCGCGGUAAUACGGGGGGGGCAAGCGUUGUUCGGAUUUACUGGGCGUAAAGCGUAUGUAGGCGGUUAGGUAAGUCACUUGUGAAAUCUCCAAGCUAAACUUGGAACGGUCAAGUAGUACUGCCUCACUAAAGUGCAGAAUGGGGCAAUGGGAAUUCUUGGUGUAGCGGUGAAAUGCGUACAUAUCCAGAGGAGCACCCGAGGCGAAGGCAAAUUGCUGGGCUGACCCUGACCCCGAGAUACUAAAGCUAGGGACNAACAGG
RNAcentral lists this ribosomal RNA (735 nucleotides) under uncultured bacterium. RNAcentral's name for it is "bacterial SSU rRNA". It matches the Rfam family "Bacterial small subunit ribosomal RNA", at positions 8 to 776 of the family's 1533-position model. The record is from RNAcentral.